UUUCCGGUUGAUCCCGCCGGACCCGACUGCUUUCCGGGUGGGACUAAGCCAUGCAAGUCGAAUGGGAAACCUUUUCCCAUGGCGAACUGCUCAGUAAUACGUGAUCAACUUACCCUAUAGAGGUGGAUAACCUCGGGAAACUGAGGAUAAUACACCAUAAUUGAGAAUGCCUGGAAUGGUUUCUCAAUGAAAGACUAAACCGAAUGGGGUUUAGAUCGCUAUAGGAUAGGAUCACGCCCGAUUAUGGCUGUUGGUGAGGUAACGGCUCACCAAACCUAUUAUCGGUAAGGGCCGUGAGAGCGGGAGCCCUGAGAUGGGUACUGAGACAAUGACCCAGGCCUUACGAGGCGCAGCAGGCGCGAAACCUUCACAAUACACGAAAGUGUGAUGAGGUUACCCGGAGUGCUACAAAGUAGCUGUGGCGGGUGAGUAAGAUUCCCCGAGAGGAAGGAGAGGGCAAGGCUGGUGCCAGCCGCCGCGGUAAAACCAGCUCUUCAAGUGGUCGGGACUUUUAUUGGGCUUAAAGUGUCCGUAGCCGGUUUAGUAAGUUCUUGGUUAAAUCUGAUAGCUUAACUAUCAGUUUGCUAGGAAUACUGCUGAACUAGGGGGCGGGAGAAGUUUGAGGUACUCCAGGGGUAGCGGUGAAAUGCUAUAAUCCUUGGGGGACCACCAGUGGCGAAGGCGUCAAACUAG
RNAcentral lists this ribosomal RNA (693 nucleotides) under uncultured archaeon. RNAcentral's name for it is "bacterial SSU rRNA". It matches the Rfam family "Archaeal small subunit ribosomal RNA", at positions 1 to 683 of the family's 1478-position model. The record is from RNAcentral.